ACCGCGAUAGCUCAGUUGGUAGAGCACCUACCCGGUAAGCGGGAUGUCUCCGGCUCGAUUUCGGCUUGCGGUG
Molecule: transfer RNA, 73 nt
Filed under: Fasciola hepatica (liver fluke)
Lineage: Eukaryota; Metazoa; Platyhelminthes; Trematoda; Plagiorchiida; Fasciolidae
Rfam family: tRNA
About the family: Transfer RNA (tRNA) molecules are approximately 80 nucleotides in length. Their secondary structure includes four short double-helical elements and three loops (D, anti-codon, and T loops). Further hydrogen bonds mediate the characteristic L-shaped molecular structure. tRNAs have two regions of fundamental functional importance: the anti-codon, which is responsible for specific mRNA codon recognition, and the 3' end, to which the tRNAs corresponding amino acid is attached (by aminoacyl-tRNA synthetases). tRNAs cope with the degeneracy of the genetic code in two manners: having more than one tRNA (with a specific anti-codon) for a particular amino acid; and 'wobble' base-pairing, i.e. permitting non-standard base-pairing at the 3rd anti-codon position.
Source: Rfam by way of RNAcentral